GAUGAACGCUGGCGGCGUGCCUAAUACAUGCAAGUCGAGCGAACAGACGAGGAGCUUGCUCCUCUGACGUUAGCGGCGGACGGGUGAGUAACACGUGGAUAACCUACCUAUAAGACUGGGAUAACUUCGGAAACCGGAGCUAAUACCGGAUAAUAUAUUGAACCGCAUGGUUCCAUAGUGAAAGACGGUUUUGCUGUCACUUAUAGAUGGAUCCGCGCCGCAUUAGCUAGUUGGUAAGGUAACGGCUUACCAAGGCAACGAUGCGUAGCCGACCUGAGAGGGUGAUCGGCCACACUGGAACUGAGACACGGUCCAGACUCCUACGGGAGGCAGCAGUAGGGAAUCUUCCGCAAUGGGCGAAAGCUUGACGGAGCAACGCCGCGUGAGUGAUGAAGGUCUUCGGAUCGUAAAACUCUGUUAUUAGGGAAGAACAAAUGUGUAAGUAACUAUGCACGUCUUGACGGUACCUAAUCAGAAAGCCACGGCUAACUACGUG
RNAcentral lists this ribosomal RNA (496 nucleotides) under uncultured bacterium. RNAcentral describes it as "partial 16S ribosomal RNA". It matches the Rfam family "Bacterial small subunit ribosomal RNA", at positions 28 to 507 of the family's 1533-position model. The record is from RNAcentral.